GGUAUCGUGCAGCAGUUUUUGGUGUUACUGACGACCAGCUCUGACGAGAGUCUUCGGUUUCUUAGCUUCAGGCUGGACUUUAACGAGCAUUACAAAGCCAGGGAGCCCAGGCUCCGCGUGUCUCUGGGUACCAGGGGGCGGCGCAGCUCCCACACGUGAAGCUCGCGGUCCUCCCAGGGAGCUGCGGGUGAUGUUCGUUGCACUGCUAGACACGAAAUUCCCAUCGACGUCCUGCAGGAACUGCAUGCUGCAGGUGUCCUGCCCUUCCGCCCACGAGUGCGCCAUGUUUCAGCGGAGCGGCGUGUGGGAGAAGCCACGUCGUGUUGCACACGUCGGAGUCGAAUGCAUUUGUAAAUCACUAAGUCAGUAGAGAUCAGAACAGGACAAAUUCUUGUCCUUUCAUGUACCUCCAACUGACGUCAACUUGUAGAAACAGCACUGAAGAUGGUCUGAAUGGGAACUAUUACAACACUGGGAGAAAUAGAAGAUAAUCUUAUUAUCGGGGAAAUAGUUACUACAGCCACACCAGCGUACAAUAAACUCAGGACUUCAGUGAAGCACAUGGAAUGGAUGACAUUGUCGUGGUCAUUCUUGGAAAUUACAAUCUGAAACUGAAGCAUAUGCAAAAUGCACCUGAAAAUUCAGACAUCUGUGCCUUGUAAGGAAAGGAGACACCACAGAUCACCCUUUGGGAGAAUGAAGAAUUUUUCCCUCAUCUUUGAAGUUCAAUAAUUUAAUACAUUUUCCAGACCAUGAAUCAUCAGGGAAAUGCAACUUUAAAAAAAUGAGAUGCUCUAUGCACACAUUGUAGCAGCCAAAAUUCAAAAGACGGACAGCACUAAACCCUAGUGAGGAUACAGAACAAGGAAAACUCUCAUAUCCUGUGGUGGGAAUGUGCAAUGAUACGGCUACUUUGGAAAACUGUUUAGCGGUUCUGUGAAAACUUAAUCAUACACCUGCCAUGACUCAGCCUUCCCACUUUCAUGUAUUUCGCCAAGAGAAGGAAAAACUUACGUCCACAAAAAGACUUGUGAUAAAGGCUUAUAGCAGCUUCGUUCAAAAUAGCCAACACUGGUGGGAGGAAAUCAGUGGUAAUUGGAUAAGCAGGAUAUAUUACCUCCAGGCAAUGGAACACAAUUUACCAAUAAAAAUAAAUCACUGGAGGGCGAUGUCUUCCUGCGUGGGGUGGGUUGAUUCCGGAGCUCUCUGAGGUCCCCAGCGCCGCACCCCUGCCGCUUCAUCUCGCAGGGCACACGAGCAGCCCCAGCAGCUCCACGCUCCCAUGCGCCCCAGCAGGUUCUGGUCCUCUCCGCUGGGACAGAUUAGGACCCUUGGAGGCCACGGCCCUGAUGCGCCAGCCCGGGCUGGCGCUGGAGACCGGGGCGCCCUUGGCAGGACGGGGAGGCGGGUCACGGUUGAUUUCUGGUUUCCCUGUGACCUGAGCAGGUUUGCACACAGUGGAAAGCGCUGCGUUUCUUUUCUUUUUUUUUAUUAUUAUACUUUAAAUUUUAGAGUACAUGUGCACAUUGUGCAGGUUAGUUACAUAUGUAUACAUGUGCCAUGCUGGUGCACUGCACCCACUAACUCGUCAUCUAGCAUUAGGUAUAUCUCCCAAUGCUAUCCCUCCCCCCUCCCCCCAUCCCACAGCAGUCUCUAGAGUGUGAUAUUUCCCUUCCUGUGUCCAUGUGAUCUCAUCGUUCAAUUCCCACCUAUGAGUGAGAAUAUGCGGUGUUUGGUUUUUUGUUCUUGCGAUGGUUUACUGAGAAUGAUGUUUUCCAAUUUCAUCCAUGUCCCUACAAAGGACAUGAACUCAUCAUUUUUUAUGGCUGCAUAGUAUUCCAUGGUGUAUAUGUGCCACAUUUUCUUAAUCCAGUCUAUCAUUGUUGGACAUUUGUGUUGGUUCCAAGUCUUUGCUAUUGUGAAUAAUGCCGCAAUAAACAUACGUGUGCAUGUGUCUU
This is a long non-coding RNA of Pan troglodytes (chimpanzee), 1958 nucleotides long. RefSeq lists it as uncharacterized. The record is from RefSeq and is a predicted model, not a curated record. Lineage: Eukaryota; Metazoa; Chordata; Mammalia; Primates; Hominidae. The transcript has 4 exons.